GACGAACGCUGGCGGCGUGCUUAACACAUGCAAGUCGAACGGAAAGGCCCUGCUUUUGUGGGGUGCUCGAGUGGCGAACGGGUGAGUAACACGUGAGUAACCUGCCCUUGACUUUGGGAUAACUUCAGGAAACUGGGGCUAAUACCGGAUAGGAGCUCCUGCUGCAUGGUGGGGGUUGGAAAGUUUCGGCUGUUGGGGAUGGACUCGCGGCUUAUCAGCUUGUUGGUGGGGUAGUGGAUUACCAAGGCUUUGAAGGGUAGCCGGCCUGAGCGGGUGACCGGCCACAAUAGGACUGAGAGACGGCGCAGACGCCUACGGGAGGCAGCAGUGGAGAAUAUUGCACAAUGGGCGGAAGCCUGAUGCAGCAACGCUGCGUGCGGGAUGACGGCCUUCGGGUUGUAAACCGCUUUCGCCUGUGACAAAGCGUGAGUGACGGUAAUGGGUAAAGAAGCACCGGCUAACUACGUG
RNAcentral lists this ribosomal RNA (468 nucleotides) under uncultured bacterium. RNAcentral describes it as "partial 16S ribosomal RNA". It matches the Rfam family "Bacterial small subunit ribosomal RNA", at positions 28 to 507 of the family's 1533-position model. The record is from RNAcentral.